Molecule: ribosomal RNA, 253 nt
Filed under: uncultured bacterium
Lineage: Bacteria
Description: partial 16S ribosomal RNA
Rfam family: Bacterial small subunit ribosomal RNA
Source: RNAcentral
UACGUAGGGUGCAAGCGUUGUCCGGAAUUAUUGGGCGUAAAGAGCUCGUAGGCGGUUUGUUGCGUCGGCUGUGAAAUCCCGAGGCUCAACCCCGGGCCUGCGGUCGAUACGGGCAAACUAGAGUGUGGUAGGGGAGACUGGAAUUCCUGGUGUAGCGGUGAAAUGCGCAGAUAUCAGGAGGAACACCGGUGGCGAAGGCGGGUCUCUGGGCCAUAACUGACGCUGAGGAGCGAAAGCGUGGGGAGCGAACAGG